AGUGAACGCUGGCGGCGUGCUUAACACUUGCAAGUCGAACGAGAACGGAUUAUAGCUUGCUAUAAUUGUCAGCUAAGUGGCGCACGGGUGAGUAAUGUAUAGGUAAUAUGCCUCUUACUAAGGGAUAGCAAAUGGAAACGUUUGCUAAUACCUUAUACUCCUUAUUAACAGAAGUUAAUAAGGGAAAGAUUUAUUGGUAAGAGAUUAGCCUGUAUUGUAUCAGUUAGUUGGUGGGGUAAUGGCUUACCAAGACUAUGACACAUAACUGGUUUGAGAGGAUGAUCAGUCACACUGGAACUGAGACACGGUCCAGACUCCUACGGGAGGCAGCAGUGGGGAAUAUUGCACAAUGGACGAAAGUCUGAUGCAGCAACGCCGCGUGGAGGAUGACACAUUUCGGUGCGUAAACUCCUUUUAUAUGAGAAGAUAAUGACGGUAUUAUAUGAAUAAGCACCGGCUAACUCCGUGCCAGCCGCCGCAGUAA
RNAcentral lists this ribosomal RNA (484 nucleotides) under uncultured bacterium. RNAcentral's name for it is "partial 16S ribosomal RNA". It matches the Rfam family "Bacterial small subunit ribosomal RNA", at positions 29 to 523 of the family's 1533-position model. The record is from RNAcentral.